UUCUCCGCAAUCCACAAAGGGUGGAACACUGUUCAUGUUACACCACAAAGAGAUGUGUUAUAAACUCUAUAUAUUCCCGACUGUGUGGACUGACAGCACCCCUGUGCACUGGAGAUCUCAAGCAUAGCAUUAGGCCAGUACUGUACUGUAUGUUGCUCCGUAGGAUGGCUUUAAGAGAGAAUCAUGUCUUGGUGUAAAACCAAGAUAGGGAGAGAAUGCACUCAGCACCUUAACGUUUGCUGUCGUACAACUUUAGAAAACGCUGUCAGUUCAGUCAGACAUAUUAGGAAAUCAAAUGUACACACUGUUGUUCACAUCUUUACAGUGGGAGAAUGCUUGAGCUCUAGAAUAGUUGUAUUUAUUCAUGUUUCUGUUCAGAUUUUGGACUGGUGAAACUAGCUUUGCUUAGUGUAAAUGGUGGUGGUCUUGUGGGAAAUCUUCCUCCCCUUCUUUUCCUCUUUUUGUUUACUUUGUUUGCUCUUUCUUUUAUUUGAACCUUGAUGUUUGAGGAAAGUUGUGUAUAACAUUUCAGUCUUUACACAAGACGUUGUUCUAAAGCAGGUCUUUUUUAAUUGUUUUUGAUUUUAUUUCUUUGUUCCGGUAUAAUUUUCAAGGAGAAAGUACAGCAGGCCUUAUUAUCGGCAGGCCUUAUAACAGAAGAAUAGCAAGCAUUCGAGUCCAUGCUUUUCUUCCCAUCUGCGUGCCACAGAGAACCUUUCAAGCUAGAGAUAAUAAUCUAAAGGAAAUGAGCACUGUCCUUUUGGAAUUUAAUACACAGUAAGGAAGAGCUUAAGCCCGCCUGCCUGCGUGACCAAUCAGUGAGAUGGAGCCUGUAUUCCCAUGUGUCAAUCAUCUAACACCCUUAGCAGAGUUUGCCAUUAACAGGAUGCAUCUGGUUUUCAGGGAUACGGCUAUCCUUAACCUAGCUUCCUUUUCUGCUUAAAACCUGAUGUGGGAACACUUCUCAGAGGAGAAGGUUUCUCUAUGCCCACUCCACUCCCCAACCUUUUGCCAGGAUUCUACCUCAGUAGUUCUGACAGAUGUUAAAGAAUACUAAUGCAAAAAGAGGAUGAUGAUGAUGAUAAUAAGAGUAACUUGGUUUUAAUGUCCUGCAGAGCUGGCCUGUGUGUUCGAUGAAGCAUACAAAGCACUAGUUGGAAACCUGAAGUUACCAUGACGAUCUCUCCCAGAACUGGUUCAGAAAGCUGUAUGUUCUAUAUGGUAGGGUUAUUUUAAAGUAUAACAAAGUGUUAAAGACAUGAACAUAUGUGUCAACUUGUCUUUGUUACCUUGUACAAAUAAACCCUGAGUUUGUAAAUAAUUGUAUACAUAUUUCUAAACCCGUUUAAUUUUUCUAUGCACUUUUUUUAUUUAUAAUGUUAUUUGCUUAAUAAAGAUGUUAAGAUGUUUGAACAAAUCAGACUUGGUCAAUUAAAAAUGUAAAUAAACAAAUUCUGAUAUGACAUUUCUAUAACAUGCAAUGUAUAAGUACAGCAAUAUCAUUGGUUGGUGAUAA
Molecule: long non-coding RNA, 1516 nt
Organism: Oncorhynchus tshawytscha (Chinook salmon)
Lineage: Eukaryota; Metazoa; Chordata; Actinopteri; Salmoniformes; Salmonidae
Source: Ensembl